This 628-nucleotide long non-coding RNA is filed under the name Citrus x clementina. Its description in RNAcentral is "Citrus clementina (C. clementina) long non-coding RNA (CCLE_LNC004445)". The record is from RNAcentral. Lineage: Eukaryota; Viridiplantae; Streptophyta; Magnoliopsida; Sapindales; Rutaceae.
UCAUUAUGUGAUUAUGAUUAUUGCUGUUAAUAAUAAUAAUAAGCAUUAUUAUUAUUUUUCUCUUUGAUUUUAUUAUUAUUCUCUCUUCUGUUUCAUCUUUUUCUUCCUCCUAUCAAUUUCGUUUCUUCUUCUUCAUCAACAUCUUAAUUCAAUUCCAUCUUCGUCAUAAUUACAUCAUCAAUAAUAAGAACUCAACUACCUUGCAACAAUUGCAAGGUAUCGCCUGAUUUUAUUUUCUUGUGGUUUCAACCUUUGACUAUUGGAUUCAAUGAAAAGAUAGAUUCAAGGAUAGAGAUUCGUUUAUUUGAAUAUUAGUAUUAUACUCCCUGAUAUUUAUAAAAAACACAAAAAUGCUAAAAAAUUAAAAUUUUUAACACAUAAGUCCAAAUUAUUUAAAAUUUUAUGUUGUUUAAUUAGUAGAGUAAGGUGGCGUUUGUUUUUUUGUCUGAAAUCUGAAAGACCUGAAUUAGUCUGAAUUCUGAAUAAAUUUGAAUGUCUGAAUCUGAAUAAUAUGUUUAUUUUUUGUCUGAAUCUCGAAAAAUAAGUAUUAAGUUGUUUGUUUUUUUCAACUUAAAAAGCUGAAAAUAUGUACUUUUACAUUUGUAUCCUUAUUAAAUUUGAAUGUCAA